UGGGGUGUGGCUCAGUGGUGGAGUGCUUGCCUGGCAUGCAGGGGGCACUGGGCUUGAUCCUCAGCACCACAU
Ictidomys tridecemlineatus (thirteen-lined ground squirrel) is the source of this 72-nucleotide non-coding RNA. The record is from Rfam. NCBI's taxonomy places the organism in Eukaryota, Metazoa, Chordata, Mammalia, Rodentia, Sciuridae.